RNAcentral lists this long non-coding RNA (201 nucleotides) under Elaeis guineensis (African oil palm). Its description in RNAcentral is "long non-coding RNA (EGUI_LNC065834)". Lineage: Eukaryota; Viridiplantae; Streptophyta; Magnoliopsida; Arecales; Arecaceae. The record is from RNAcentral.
GCUUAAAUCAGAUGUUUCCAUUGUCCUUAUGAUGCAUUGUCCAUUUUUCUUUACUAAUUCUCCUCCUUUUUGCCAUCAUCAAAAUCACAUGAGAAGAAUUAGGAUAUAAACGAUCUUUGAUAGAUGUACCUUUUCAAUAUAAUUUUUAGGCUAGACUUGCUUGUUUAAUUUGAUGUAAUUCUAAUUAAAAUUUCUUACAAG